GAGUUGUGAUUAAUAUAUUUGAUGUGAGAACUGGUAAAGUGAUGCGGGAUUUCAAAGGAAGUGCUGAUGAUUUUGCAAUUGGAGGUACUGGAGGUGUCACUGGGGUGUCAUGGCCUGUUUUCAAGUAUAACUCUCUCUCUCUUCCUCUCUGUGUGUGUGCGUGUCAGUGUGGGUGUAUCUGUGUCUAGGUUAAGUGUUUUAGCAUCUGACAUGGCCAGUGAUAAAUGUGGUACUAUCUUUGCAGAUGGAGUAGUGGAGAUAAGUACUUUGCAAGGAUGGGGAAAAAUGUACUCUCUGUAUAUGAGACAGAGACCUUCUCCCUGGUUGACAAAAAAUCAUUGAAGGUUGAAAAUAUAAUGGAUUUUAGCUGGUCCCCAACUGAUCCAAUCAUUGCACUCUUUGUUCCUGAGAGUGGUGGUGAUAACCAGCCUGCUAGGGUAAGUUUGUAUUUUCCUUGCCUUCUCUGGCCAGUGAUUGAGAUUCCUCUCUGUGUGUGUGCGUGUCAGUGUGGGUGUAUCUGUGUCUAGGUUAAGUGUUUUAGCAUCUGACAUGGCCAGUGAUAAAUGUGGUACUAUCUUUGCAGAUGGAGUAGUGGAGAUAAGUACUUUGCAAGGAUGGGGAAAAAUGUACUCUCUGUAUAUGAGACAGAGACCUUCUCCCUGGUUGACAAAAAAUCAUUGAAGGUUGAAAAUAUAAUGGAUUUUAGCUGGUCCCCAACUGAUCCAAUCAUUGCACUCUUUGUUCCUGAGAGUGGUGGUGGUAACCAGCCUGCUAG
Molecule: long non-coding RNA, 775 nt
Filed under: Lotus japonicus
Lineage: Eukaryota; Viridiplantae; Streptophyta; Magnoliopsida; Fabales; Fabaceae
Description: long non-coding RNA (LJAP_LNC001351)
Source: RNAcentral